RNAcentral lists this long non-coding RNA (217 nucleotides) under Elaeis guineensis (African oil palm). RNAcentral's name for it is "long non-coding RNA (EGUI_LNC079795)". Lineage: Eukaryota; Viridiplantae; Streptophyta; Magnoliopsida; Arecales; Arecaceae. The record is from RNAcentral.
UCUCUCUUUAUAUGUGAUCUCAUAGAUUCAAUUCUAUCUGGUAGUGAGAUAUACCAUGAUCUCUAUCAUAGGUAUCACUAAAAUUUCUUUCAAUAGGUCAGAACAAUUUCACUCGAACUCGACAAGGAUCAUUGAUCCCAAACGAUCUGAUUGAGCUCUCAUAAUCUAUUAGUGAUAUCCAGUAAUAUGUAGUGGCAACCUAGUAGAACUGAAAUAG